This 64-nucleotide transfer RNA is filed under the name Cavia porcellus (domestic guinea pig). It matches the Rfam family "tRNA". From Rfam's summary of the family: Transfer RNA (tRNA) molecules are approximately 80 nucleotides in length. Their secondary structure includes four short double-helical elements and three loops (D, anti-codon, and T loops). The record is from Rfam by way of RNAcentral. Lineage: Eukaryota; Metazoa; Chordata; Mammalia; Rodentia; Caviidae.
GGGGGUUUAGCUCAGUGGCAUAAGCACCUGCCUGGCAAGCAUGAGGUCGAGAGUUCAAUCCCCG